UUUGGUGGUAGCGUCUUUCUGGUGCAUUUGUUAAGUGUUCAAAUGGGCCUGACUCUGCCACGUACAUUAUGCAGGAGCUGGCAAAGGCUUAGAGAUAAAGUGGUCUCUCUUGAGUGUUUCCUAAUGACAACUUGGCUCCUAUAUAU
Molecule: small nucleolar RNA, 146 nt
Organism: Meriones unguiculatus (Mongolian gerbil)
Lineage: Eukaryota; Metazoa; Chordata; Mammalia; Rodentia; Muridae
Source: Ensembl